Molecule: long non-coding RNA, 1773 nt
Filed under: Cyanistes caeruleus (blue tit)
Lineage: Eukaryota; Metazoa; Chordata; Aves; Passeriformes; Paridae
Description: lncRNA (ENSCCEG00000005396.1)
Source: RNAcentral
CUGGUCUAUACUGGUCCAUACUGAUUUGAACUGGUCUGUACUGGUCUGUACUGGUCCAUACUGGUUUAUACUGGUUUAUACUGGUUUAUACUGGUUCAUACUGGUUUAUACUGGUUUAUACUGGUUUAUACUGGUUUAUACUGGUUUAUACUGGGAAUGGGACUGGGAUAGACUGGGAACAAAAUGGGAGUUACUGGGAGGGGACUGGGAAUGAACUGGGAGGGACUGGGACAAACUGGGAGGGACUGGGAGGGACUGGGAGGGAAUUGGGUGAAUUUUGGGCGGAUUUUGGUCAUUUCCGGGCGGAUUUUUUGGGGAAUUUCGCCGGAAUUUUGGGAAUUUCACCGGAAUUUCGGGAAUUUCACCGGAAUUUCGGGAAUUUUCCGGAAUUCCGAUGGAAUUUUGGGAAUUCCAGGUUUGGAGCCCGCCUGGUUCCUCCUGGGGGAGAUUUUGGGGUGGAAUUUGAGGAUUUUGGGUGAAUUUUGGGCGGAUUUUGGUCAUUUCCGGGCGGAUUUUUUUGGGAAUUUCGCUGGAAUUUUGGGAAUUUCGCCGGAAUUUCGGGAAUUUUCCGGAAUUCCGAUGGAAUUUUCCGGAACUGCAGGUGCAGAGCCCGCCUGGUGCGCUGGGGGUCCCUCCUGGGGGAGAUUUUGGGGUGGAAUUUUUGGAUUUUGGGCGGAUUUUGGGCGGAUUUUGGUCAUUCCUGGGUGGAUUUUUUUUGGAAUUUCGCCGGAAUUUUGGGAAUUCUGCUGGAAUUUUCCAGAAUUCCGAUGGAAUUUGGGGAAUUCCAGGUUUGGGGCUCAUCUGGGGGGAGAUUUUGGGGUGGAAUUUGGGGAUUUGGGUGAAUUUUGGGCGGAUUUUGGUCAUUUCCGGGCGGAUUUUUUUGGGAAUUUCGCCGGAAUUUUGGGAAUUCUGCUGGAAUUUCGGGAAUUCCGCUGGAAUUUUCCGGAACUGCAGGUGCGGAGCCCGCCUGGUGCGCUGGGGGUCCCUCCUGGGCCGACUCUUCCCGCAGGUUCUGAGCUCCUGGAGCGGCUGCCGGGAUCCCCCCCCCGGGCAGGAGAGACCCUUCGGGGCUCUGCGGUGCCGCCUGUACCAGGUGCUGGAGCUGUGGGUGCAGGUGGCCGGCGCGGCCUCGGGGAUCCUGCAGGGUCCCGGCAGCGCCAGCGAGGCUCUCCUGGCUCACCUGAUCAGCGACAUCUCCCCCCCCUCCGAGGGGGCCAAGGUGAGCCAAAAACUCCCUUUUUUCACCCCAAAACCUUCCCAGGCUCCUGCAGAACCAAAUGAGACCCGGGAGGGGCAAAAAAAAACGGUCGGAGGGGGGAAAAUUCCGGCUGGAAUUCAAAAAAUUCCUGCUGGAAACUGAGAAAAUCUUGUUGGAAUCCCAAAAAAUCUCGUUGGAAUCCAAAAAUUCCUGCUGGAAUCCCAAAAAUUCCGGCUGGAAUCCCAAAAAUUCCGGCUGGAAUCCAAAAAUUUCUGCUGGAAACUGAGAAAAUCUCGUUGGAAUCCCGAAAAAUCUCAUUGGAAUCCAAAAAUUCCUGCUGGAAUCCCAAAAAUUCCGGCUGGAAUCCAAAAAUUUCUGCUGGAAACUGGAAAAAUCUCGUUGGAAUCCCAAAAAAUUCCCUCUGGAAUCAAAAAAAUCUCACUGAGAUCCCAAAAAUCUCAUUGGAAUCCAAAAAAUUCCCACUGGAAUCCAAAAAUUUCUCACUGGAAUCUGAAAAAAUCUCAUUGGAAUCCAAAAAAAUCUCAUUGGAAUAAAAAAAAUUCUACUGGAAUCCA